GGCGGGAUAGCUCAGUUGGCAGAGCAAGGGACUCAUAAGCCCUGGGUCGCCGGUUCGACUCCGGCUCCCGCCACCA
RNAcentral lists this transfer RNA (76 nucleotides) under Lentisphaerota bacterium. RNAcentral describes it as "Lentisphaerae bacterium (hot springs metagenome) tRNA-Met". It matches the Rfam family "tRNA". Rfam says of the family: Transfer RNA (tRNA) molecules are approximately 80 nucleotides in length. Their secondary structure includes four short double-helical elements and three loops (D, anti-codon, and T loops). Further hydrogen bonds mediate the characteristic L-shaped molecular structure. tRNAs have two regions of fundamental functional importance: the anti-codon, which is responsible for specific mRNA codon recognition, and the 3' end, to which the tRNAs corresponding amino acid is attached (by aminoacyl-tRNA synthetases). tRNAs cope with the degeneracy of the genetic code in two manners: having more than one tRNA (with a specific anti-codon) for a particular amino acid; and 'wobble' base-pairing, i.e. permitting non-standard base-pairing at the 3rd anti-codon position. The record is from RNAcentral. Lineage: Bacteria; Pseudomonadati; Lentisphaerota.